AGAGUUUGAUCCUGGCUCAGAAUGAACGCUGGCGGCGUGCUUUACACAUGCAAGUCGAGCGAGGCGUGUAGCAAUACACAGUCGAGCGGCGAACGGGUGAGUAACGCGUGGAUUAUCUGCCCUGAGGUGGGGGAUAACCCGGGGAAACUCGGGCUAAUACCGCAUAGGACCGUGAGGUCAAAGGGGGGUCGCAAGAUCUCUCGCCAUAGGAGGAGUCCGCGUUCGAUUAGCUAGUUGGUAGGGUAAUGGCCUACCAAGGCGACGAUCGAUAGCCGGCCUGAGAGGGUGAUCGGCCACACUGGAACUGAGACACGGUCCAGACUCCUACGGGAGGCAGCAGUGGGGAAUUUUGCGCAAUGGGCUAACGCCUGACGCAGCAACGCCGCGUGGAGGAUGAAGGUCCUUGGAUUGUAAACUCCUGUCAGCAGGGAAAAAGCAACCUGACCUCAUACGUCAGGGAGUUGAUUGUACCUGCAGAGGAAGCCCCGGCUAACUCUGUGCCAGCCGCCGCGGUAAUAC
This 519-nucleotide ribosomal RNA is filed under the name uncultured bacterium. Its description in RNAcentral is "bacterial SSU rRNA". It matches the Rfam family "Bacterial small subunit ribosomal RNA", at positions 8 to 526 of the family's 1533-position model. The record is from RNAcentral.